GCAGGUGUGGCGGAAUUGGUAGACGCACCGCACUCAAAAUGCGGCGGGGAAACCCUUGUCGGUUCAAGUCCGACCACCUGUA
Molecule: transfer RNA, 82 nt
Organism: Synechococcus sp. CC9311
Lineage: Bacteria; Bacillati; Cyanobacteriota; Cyanophyceae; Synechococcales; Synechococcaceae
Rfam family: tRNA
About the family: Transfer RNA (tRNA) molecules are approximately 80 nucleotides in length. Their secondary structure includes four short double-helical elements and three loops (D, anti-codon, and T loops).
Source: Rfam